Molecule: ribosomal RNA, 484 nt
Filed under: uncultured bacterium
Lineage: Bacteria
Description: partial 16S ribosomal RNA
Rfam family: Bacterial small subunit ribosomal RNA
Source: RNAcentral
AUUGAACGCUGGCGGCAGGCCUAACACAUGCAAGUCGAGCGGAUGAAGGGAGCUUGCUCCUGGAUUCAGCGGCGGACGGGUGAGUAAUGCCUAGGAAGCUGCCUGGUAGUGGGGGAUAACGUCCGGAAACGGGCGCUAAUACCGCAUACGUCCUGAGGGAGAAAGUGGGGGAUCUUCGGACCUCACGCUAUCAGAUGAGCCUAGGUCGGAUUAGCUAGUUGGUGGGGUAAAGGCCUACCAAGGCGACGAUCCGUAACUGGGCUGAGAGGAUGAUCAGUCACACUGGAACUGAGACACGGUCCAGACUCCUACGGGAGGCAGCAGUGGGGAAUAUUGGACAAUGGGCGAAAGCCUGAUCCAGCCAUGCCGCGUGUGUGAAGAAGGUCUUCGGAUUGUAAAGCACUUUAAGUUGGGAGGAAGGGAAGUAAGUUAAUACCUUGCUGUUUUGACGUUACCAACAGAAUAAGCACCGGCUAACUUCGUG